Molecule: transfer RNA, 79 nt
Filed under: Loxodonta africana (African savanna elephant)
Lineage: Eukaryota; Metazoa; Chordata; Mammalia; Proboscidea; Elephantidae
Rfam family: tRNA
About the family: Transfer RNA (tRNA) molecules are approximately 80 nucleotides in length. Their secondary structure includes four short double-helical elements and three loops (D, anti-codon, and T loops).
Source: Rfam by way of RNAcentral
GCAGUGGUGGUUCAGUAGUAGAAUGCUCACCUUCCAGCCUUGCAUGUGGGAGACCUGGGUUCAAUUCCCAGCCAAUGCA